Molecule: non-coding RNA, 25 nt
Filed under: Cricetulus griseus (Chinese hamster)
Lineage: Eukaryota; Metazoa; Chordata; Mammalia; Rodentia; Cricetidae
Source: RNAcentral
AGCCACUGGGCCACUCGAGCGCAUC